This 774-nucleotide ribosomal RNA is filed under the name uncultured Neocallimastigales. RNAcentral's name for it is "partial large subunit ribosomal RNA". It matches the Rfam family "Eukaryotic large subunit ribosomal RNA", at positions 24 to 635 of the family's 3401-position model. The record is from RNAcentral. Lineage: Eukaryota; Fungi; Neocallimastigomycota; Neocallimastigomycetes; Neocallimastigales.
UAUGUGAUCGUCUCUCGCAUAUCAAUAAGCGGAGGAAAAGAAACUAACAAGGAUUCCCCUAGUAACGGCGAGUGAAGCGGGAAGAGCUCAAAUUUGAAAUCUUAAAGGGUUUCCCUUUACGAAUUGUAGUUUAAAGAAGUGUUUUCUGUUGAGGUUUUGGUAAAAGUUCUUUGGAAUAGGACAUCAUAGAGGGUGAGAAUCCCGUAUUUGACCUUUACUUUCAACUUUGUGAUACACUUUCAAAGAGUCGGAUUGUUUAGGAAUGCAGUCCAAAAUGGGUGGUAAAUUUCAUCUAAAGCUAAAUAUUGGCGAGAGACCGAUAGCGAACAAGUACCGUGAGGGAAAGAUGAAAAGAACUUUGAAAAGAGAGUUAAACAGUACGUGAAAUUGUCAAAAGGGAAGCGUUUGACACCAGUGUUGUUUUUCUGAAAAUCAAUUAAAGAACUGUUUAUGCUAAGUUGUUUAGACUUUAUCAGCUAUCUGUUUAGUUUUGAGCUUUUCUUUAAUGCACUUUUCAGUUAACAAGUCAACAUCAAUUUCUUUUGCUGUAAAAAAGCUUGAGGAAGGUGGCUUGAGAUUCGUCUUAAGUGUUUAUAGCCUCUUGCCUAUGCAGUCGGAGAGAUUGAGGUCUGCAGCGUAGAUCCUUCGGGGCUAAAUGCAUUUGUGCUAAGUUAUAGCAUUUUAUAGACAACUUGUUGACUAUGAUUUGUCUUGUAGCUUACUCGCUUAUGUUAUUUUACCUACGCUUAGGAUGUUGAUCUACAGAGCGAGAGU